RNAcentral lists this ribosomal RNA (436 nucleotides) under uncultured bacterium. RNAcentral's name for it is "partial 16S ribosomal RNA". It matches the Rfam family "Bacterial small subunit ribosomal RNA", at positions 355 to 803 of the family's 1533-position model. The record is from RNAcentral.
UGGGGAAUAUUGGACAAUGGGCGGAAGCCUGAUCCAGCAACGCCGUGUGAGGGAUGACGGCCUUCGGGUUGUAAACCUCUUUCAGUACCGACGAAAGCGAAAGUGAGGUAGGUACAGAAGAAGGACCGGCCAACUACGUGCCAGCAGCCGCGGUAAUACGUAGGGUCCGAGCGUUGUCCGGAAUUAUUGGGCGUAAAGGGCUCGUAGGCGGUUUGUCGCGUCGGGAGUGAAAACAGCGGGCUUAACUCGUUGCUUGCUUUCGAUACGGGCAGACUAGAGGUAUGCAGGGGAGAAUGGAAUUCCUGUGUAGCGGUGAAAUGCGCAGAUAUGCAGGAGGAACACCGGUGGCGAAGGCGGUUCUCUGGGCAUUACCUGACGCUGAGGAGCGAAAGUGUGGGGAGCGAACAGGAUUAGAUCCCCUGGUAGUCCACACCGU